GGGCGGUUAGCUCAGUUGGCUAGAGCGUUCGGGUCACAUCCGAAAGGUCACUGGUUCGAAUCCAGUACCGCCCACUA
Molecule: transfer RNA, 77 nt
Filed under: Candidatus Jorgensenbacteria bacterium
Lineage: Bacteria; Candidatus Joergenseniibacteriota
Description: tRNA-Val
Rfam family: tRNA
About the family: Transfer RNA (tRNA) molecules are approximately 80 nucleotides in length.
Source: RNAcentral